RNAcentral lists this ribosomal RNA (1080 nucleotides) under Parabacteroides faecis. RNAcentral describes it as "partial 23S ribosomal RNA". It matches the Rfam family "Bacterial large subunit ribosomal RNA", at positions 1138 to 2232 of the family's 2925-position model. Lineage: Bacteria; Pseudomonadati; Bacteroidota; Bacteroidia; Bacteroidales; Tannerellaceae. The record is from RNAcentral.
CAGCUCACUAGUCGAGGAGUUUGGCGUGGAUAAUACUCGGGCAUAAACUGUUUACCGAAGCUAUGGAUCUCGUAAGAGAUGGUAGGGGAGCAUUCUAUGGACGUUGAAGGUGAGGGAUAACCCUUGCUGGAGUGCAUAGAAAAGCAAAUGUAGGUAUAAGUAACGAUAAAGGAAGUGAGAAACUUCCUCGCCGAAAGACUAAGGUUUCCUGAUCAACGUUAAUCGGAUCAGGGUAAGUCGGGACCUAAGGAUAAGCCGAACGGCGAUUCCGAUGGAAGAAUGGUUUAAUAUUCCCAUACUACUUUAUUGAGCGAUGUGGAGACGGAGAAGUGACAGUCCUGCCAUCUGACGGAAUAGAUGGUUAAAGGGUGUAGGCGUUGAUCGAAGUAGGCAAAUCCGCUUUGAGAGCUGAACCUGACAGUAUACCGAGUACUUGUACAAGGUAAUAUGGACGUAAACAGGCUCCCUAGAAAAUCCGCUAAGCAUAUCAAUAAAGUACCCGUACCGUAAACGGACACACGUAGUUGGGUUGAGAAUACUGAGGCGCUCGAGUGAUUCACGGUUAAGGAACUAGGCAAAUUGACCCUGUAACUUCGGGAUAAAGGGUCCCUAUCGAAAGGUAGGGCGCAGAGAAUAGGUCCAGGCAACUGUUUAACAAAAACACAUGGCUGUGCAAAAUAGAAAUAUGAAGUAUACAGCCUGACACCUGCCCGGUGCUGGAAGGUUAAGAGGAGAGCUUAUCGCAAGAGAAGGUUUGAAUUGAAGCCCCAGUAAACGGCGGCCGUAACUAUAACGGUCCUAAGGUAGCGAAAUUCCUUGUCGGGUAAGUUCCGACCUGCACGAAUGGUGUAAUGAUCUGGACACUGUCUCAACCGUGAGCUCGGUGAAAUUGUAGUAUCGGUGAAGAUGCCGAUUACCCGCGAUGGGACGAAAAGACCCCGUGAACCUUUACUAUAGCUUUACAUUGAAUUUGGGCAACUAAUGUGUAGGAUAGGCCGGAGGCUAUGAAGCAGGUACGCUAGUAUUUGUGGAGCCGUCGUUGAAAUACGGCCCUUUGGUUGUUUGAGUUCUAACUCGCGA